Molecule: long non-coding RNA, 686 nt
Filed under: Brassica rapa (field mustard)
Lineage: Eukaryota; Viridiplantae; Streptophyta; Magnoliopsida; Brassicales; Brassicaceae
Description: long non-coding RNA (BRAP_LNC000781)
Source: RNAcentral
AACUACCUACCCUAAACCCAACCUAACCCUAAACCCUACCUAACCCUAACCCUACAUAACCCUAAACCCUACCUAACCCUAGCCCUACAUAACCCUAAACCCUACUAACCUUACCUAACCUAAACCCUACCUAACCAAAAACCUUUCUAACCCUAAACCCUUUCAAGCCCUAAAUCCUAUCUAACCCUAAACCCUACUUACACUAAACCCUACUAACCCUAAACCCUACUAACCAUAAACCCAACUAACCCUAAACCCUUUCUAACCCUAAACCCUACCUAACUUUAAACCCUACCUUACCCUAAACCCUACCUAAUUCUAAACCCUACCUAACCCUAAACCCUACCUAACCCUAAACCCUACCUACCCUAAACCCUUUCGAACCCUAAACCCUACCAAACCCUAAACCCCUUCUAACCCUAAACUUGAUCUAACCCUAAACCCUACCUAUCCCUAAAUCCUACCUAACCCUAAACCUUACCUACCGUAAACCCUUUCUGACCCUAAACCCUACCUAACCCUAAACCCCUUCUAACCCUAAACCUGAUCUAACCCUAAACCCUGCCUAACCCUAAACCCUACCUAAUCCUAAACCCUUUCUAGCCUUUAAUCCUACUAACCCUAAACCCUACUAACCUAAACCAUGCUAACCUUAAACCCUACCUAAUUCAAAACCCUACCUAACC